This is a long non-coding RNA of Gasterosteus aculeatus aculeatus (three-spined stickleback), 578 nucleotides long. NCBI's taxonomy places the organism in Eukaryota, Metazoa, Chordata, Actinopteri, Perciformes, Gasterosteidae. The record is from Ensembl.
CCGGCCCCCGGGGGGGUGGUGGUCUCUGGAGACCAGACUGAAUCAGAGGCAGAGAGAUGUGAUGCAGCGACGGCGGCACCAAACGUCUGAGACUGGUCCUCGAGAAGAAAAAAAACAUCUGGGUUUGGUUUGUUAGAAAAAAUGUGGGUGAGAAAAAAACAAACAAACAAACAAACCAACAGUGGUUCAGAGAGGAGCAGAGCGGGAGGGAAAGCUCAGCGGGGAACAACAGCAAGUCAAUACCACGUUGGGGUUUGGAAAACGUGGACGAUUGGACAAUGAAUCCUGCGCCUGGAGACACCUGUUCCACAGAAUGAGCAUCACUUAUCCUUUUUUCUUCUCCUGGAUCCCAACCGACAUGAUUCACACGGAGAAACCACAACCCGCUGAAAAUGAAUACACACACAUUUGUAAGCUACAAAUGGAUCUUCAAGACGUCACUACUCAUGUGACUUCUUGUAUAUUCUUUGAAGCCUUCUGGAAACUGUCCCACUUGAUCUCAUCCACUUUCCAGGCGAGUGUGCCUAAUAUCUUUUUUUAGUUGUGAGUCAAGCAUAAUUGCACAGCAGUUGCCAUUG